Molecule: long non-coding RNA, 451 nt
Organism: Venturia canescens
Lineage: Eukaryota; Metazoa; Arthropoda; Insecta; Hymenoptera; Ichneumonidae
Exons: 2
Source: RefSeq, a predicted model, not a curated record
AGAGAACUAUGGAUGUCAAUAACAGCCAACCGCGAACGUGAUAUCUCUAUAACAUCAAAAAAAAUUUGAUUUUUUUAGAAACGUGUAAAUAACUUUUUAUGAUUCUUCAUGUUCUCCUUCAAAAAUUCCUCUCCUUCAAGACAUAGUUUCAGUUGUAAUGAAAACAGACGUGGUUGUGAAUUUCUUAACCUGUCUUCAACCCUAAGGUCACACGUUGAAAAAUUAAUAUCAAGAAAAUCACGCAUUCUCCGGGAAUCUCGCCCUUCAGAAUUACUUAUAAUCAUCGGAAUUUCUUCGGUUCUCGUUCGCUUCGUAACUCGCAACUCGUCCAGAAGUUGACCAUACUCUUGCAGCCGGUCUGCAACGUCAAAAAACUCACCAAAUUAUUUUUUCAUCAAUUUGGUUAGCUAAACCAAUGUAAAUAAAAGAACGAAGAUUUUUUUUUUCCAAA